This 443-nucleotide ribosomal RNA is filed under the name uncultured bacterium. Its description in RNAcentral is "partial 16S ribosomal RNA". It matches the Rfam family "Bacterial small subunit ribosomal RNA", at positions 338 to 795 of the family's 1533-position model. The record is from RNAcentral.
CCUACGGGAGGCAGCAGUGGGGAAUAUUGGGCAAUGGGCGCAAGUCUGACCCAGCCACGCCGCGUGCAGGAAGAAGGCUUUCGGGUUGUAAACUUCUUUUCUCAGGGACGAAGAAAGUGUCGGUACCUGAUGAAUAAGCCACGGCUAACUCCGUGCCAGCCGCCGCGGUAAUACGUAGGUGGCAAGCGUUCUCCGGAUUUAUUGGGUGUAAAGGGCGUGUAGGCGGGAGCGCAAGUCAGAUGUGAAACCUCAGGGCUCAACCCUGAGACUGCAUUUGAAACUGUGUUUCUUGAGUGCUGGAGAGGAAAUCGGAAUUCCGGGUGUAGCGGUGAAAUGCGUAGAUAUACGGAGGAACACCAGUGGCGAAGGCGAAUUGCUGGACAGUAACUGACGCUGAGGCGCGAAAGCGUGGGGAGCAAACAGGAUUAGAUACCCUAGUAGUC